This 29-nucleotide non-coding RNA is filed under the name Rattus norvegicus (Norway rat). The record is from RNAcentral. Lineage: Eukaryota; Metazoa; Chordata; Mammalia; Rodentia; Muridae.
UAGAAGACAGUAUGGUUCUGGGUACCCGC